Scylla paramamosain (green mud crab) is the source of this 1396-nucleotide long non-coding RNA. RefSeq lists it as uncharacterized. The record is from RefSeq and is a predicted model, not a curated record. The transcript is spliced from 2 exons. NCBI's taxonomy places the organism in Eukaryota, Metazoa, Arthropoda, Malacostraca, Decapoda, Portunidae.
AAUAGACCAACUUUAAAAAAAAGAAAAAGGGCCCUCGUGGCCCAGUGGGUAGAGUGAUGCACUUUGAGUUUGGCGUGAGGGAAGUGAGGGGCGCGUAGGUUCGAACCCCCCUCUCGGAACUCACAAAAACCUUGAAAGAGCAUCCCUCCAUCACCAUGUGUGAUGGAACUGCCCACGGGGAGGAGGGGAGGUGAGUGCGCAGCACCUCCCUACCCCUCCCCAUGGGAGGAAGGCACCGCCUUACCGGCCCCCGGGAGAGCAAGGGAGGUGAGUGCACAGCGCUUCCCUUCUCUCCCCUACCUAACCCUGGCAAGUCUACGGACUACCAGGCAAAAAAUAAUAAAAACAAAAAAAAAUAAAAAACAAAAAAAAAAUGAAAAUAAAAUAAAUAAAGGUAAGUGCAUAGCACUUCUCUUAACCUAACAGAAUAAAAAAUAUAAAGGUGAGUGCAUAGCACUUCCCUUCUCUUCCAACCUACCAGGCAAAAGAUAGAAAAAAAAAUAGAUAAAGAAUUAAAGUGAGUGCAUAGCACUUCCCUUGUCUCCUAACCUACCACGCAAAAAAAAAAAAAAUAAAUAAAUAAAAUAAAAUAAAAUAAAUAAAUAAAUAAAGAUAAAUAUAUAAAUAAAUAAAAAUAAAUAAAAACCUCCUUACCACCUCGGACCUCGGGAGAGCAAGGGAGGUGAGUGCACAGCACUUCCCUUCUCUCCCCAAGUCUACGGACUGCCAGACCAAAAAGAAUAAAAUAUAUAUAGGUAUAAAAAAAUAAUAAAAGUAAUAAAAAAAGAUAAAUGAAAAAAAUAAGUAAAUAAAACAAAAACAAUAAAACUCCUACUCCCAACUGACCCAACAAUACCCAACUACUCCCAACAAUACCAACUGACUGACCCUGACAACCCCAAAGACCACCACCCACCUGGGAAGCACGGGAGGUGAGUGUGCAGCACCUCCCUACCCUUCCCAGUCUCCCAGUUUGACUUUGACCACCAAUCUGACUCAUCCUACCAACUCCAAAGAGCAACUCCAACUGUACAGACCACCACCACCACCACCCUUCUGAUCUCGGCAAGGUGAGUGCGUAGCACUUCCCUGGACUGACCCUGACUGACUGACCCUGGCAACUCCAAAAACAACCAACCUGACUGACUUACAGAUAUGUAAUCACCUAACUGACUGGCCCUGGGGAGCAUGGGAGGUGAGUGUGCAGCACCUCCCUACACUUCCCAGUCUCCCAGUUUGACCUGACUCAUCCUGGCAACUUCAAAGAACAACUCCAAAUGUACAGACCAACAGUACCUCCUACUCUGUGUCCCACUCUGACCCUGAUCCAUACAUCCCUACAUCCUACCCUGUCCUGGCUAGGUGAGUGCGUAGCACUUCCCUACCACCUGCCUUU